RNAcentral lists this ribosomal RNA (1508 nucleotides) under metagenome. RNAcentral's name for it is "bacterial SSU rRNA". It matches the Rfam family "Bacterial small subunit ribosomal RNA". The record is from RNAcentral.
AGAGUUUGAUCCUGGCUCAGGACGAACGCUGGCGGCGUGCCUAAUACAUGCAAGUCGAGCGGACAGAUGGGAGCUUGCUCCCUGAUGUUAGCGGCGGACGGGUGAGUAACACGUGGGUAACCUGCCUGUAAGACUGGGAUAACCCCGGGAAACCGGGGCUAAUACCGGAUGGUUGUUUGAACCGCAUGGUUCAAACAUAAAAGGUGGCUUCGGCUACCACUUACAGAUGGACCCGCGGCGCAUUAGCUAGUUGGUGAGGUAACGGCUCACCAAGGCAACGAUGCGUAGCCGACCUGAGAGGGUGAUCGGCCACACUGGGACUGAGACACGGCCCAGACUCCUACGGGAGGCAGCAGUAGGGAAUCUUCCGCAAUGGACGAAAGUCUGACGGAGCAACGCCGCGUGAGUGAUGAAGGUUUUCGGAUCGUAAAGCUCUGUUGUUAGGGAAGAACAAGUACCGUUCGAAUAGGGCGGUACCUUGACGGUACCUAACCAGAAAGCCACGGCUAACUACGUGCCAGCAGCCGCGGUAAUACGUAGGUGGCAAGCGUUGUCCGGAAUUAUUGGGCGUAAAGGGCUCGCAGGCGGUUUCUUAAGUCUGAUGUGAAAGCCCCCGGCUCAACCGGGGAGGGUCAUUGGAAACUGGGGAACUUGAGUGCAGAAGAGGAGAGUGGAAUUCCACGUGUAGCGGUGAAAUGCGUAGAGAUGUGGAGGAACACCAGUGGCGAAGGCGACUCUCUGGUCUGUAACUGACGCUGAGGAGCGAAAGCGUGGGGAGCGAACAGGAUUAGAUACCCUGGUAGUCCACGCCGUAAACGAUGAGUGCUAAGUGUUAGGGGGUUUCCGCCCCUUAGUGCUGCAGCUAACGCAUUAAGCACUCCGCCUGGGGAGUACGGUCGCAAGACUGAAACUCAAAGGAAUUGACGGGGGCCCGCACAAGCGAUGGAGCAUGUGGUUUAAUUCGAAGCAACGCGAAGAACCUUACCAGGUCUUGACAUCCUCUGACAAUCCUAGAGAUAGGACGUCCCCUUCGGGGGCAGAGUGACAGGUGGUGCAUGGUUGUCGUCAGCUCGUGUCGUGAGAUGUUGGGUUAAGUCCCGCAACGAGCGCAACCCUUGAUCUUAGUUGCCAGCAUUCAGUUGGGCACUCUAAGGUGACUGCCGGUGACAAACCGGAGGAAGGUGGGGAUGACGUCAAAUCAUCAUGCCCCUUAUGACCUGGGCUACACACGUGCUACAAUGGACAGAACAAAGGGCAGCGAAACCGCGAGGUUAAGCCAAUCCCACAAAUCUGUUCUCAGUUCGGAUCGCAGUCUGCAACUCGACUGCGUGAAGCUGGAAUCGCUAGUAAUCGCGGAUCAGCAUGCCGCGGUGAAUACGUUCCCGGGCCUUGUACACACCGCCCGUCACACCACGAGAGUUUGUAACACCCGAAGUCGGUGAGGUAACCUUUUAGGAGCCAGCCGCCGAAGGUGGGACAGAUGAUUGGGGUGAAGUCGUAACAAGGUA